GUCCACGCCCUAAACGAUGUGUGCUAGUUGUCGGGCCCUUAGGGUUCGGUGACGCAGCUAACGCUUUAAGCACACCGCCUGGGGAGUACGGUCGCAAGAUUAAAACUCAAAGGAAUUGACGGGGCCCGCACAAGCGGUGGAGCAUGUGGUUUAAUUCGACGCAACGCGAAGAACCUUAUCUACUCUUGACAUCUACGGAAGUUUGCAGAGAUGCAGACGUGCCUUGGGAACCGUAAGACAGGUGCUGCAUGGCUGUCGU
This 259-nucleotide ribosomal RNA is filed under the name uncultured bacterium. RNAcentral describes it as "partial 16S ribosomal RNA". It matches the Rfam family "Bacterial small subunit ribosomal RNA", at positions 793 to 1055 of the family's 1533-position model. The record is from RNAcentral.